RNAcentral lists this ribosomal RNA (377 nucleotides) under uncultured bacterium. RNAcentral's name for it is "bacterial SSU rRNA". It matches the Rfam family "Bacterial small subunit ribosomal RNA", at positions 521 to 896 of the family's 1533-position model. The record is from RNAcentral.
UAAUACAGAGGGGGCAAGCGUUAUUCGGAAUUAUUGGGCGUAAAGGGCGCGUAGGCGGCCUUGUAAGUCUUGGGUGAAAUCCCUCAGCUCAACUGAGGAACUGCCUCGGAUACUGCAAGGCUUGAGGCCGGGAGAGGGUAGUGGAAUUCCCAGUGUAGCGGUGAAAUGCGUAGAUAUUGGGAGGAACACCGGUGGCGAAGGCGGCUACCUGGACCGGUUCUGACGCUGAUGCGCGAAAGCGUGGGGAGCAAACAGGAUUAGAUACCCUGGUAGUCCACGCUGUAAACGAUGGGUGCUCGGUGUCGCGGGUAUCGACCCCUGCGGUGCCUUAGUUAACACGUUAAGCACCCCGCCUGGGGAGUACGGUCGCAAGGCUG